UGGAAACAUCAGAAGCUGGGGAGCUGCCGCUGCGACGCGCAUCCAGCGAUUUGUGCCGGCUCUAAGGGCUCAGAGGAUUCCAGGUGGGACACGGGAGUCGGGAUGCACGGAGCACAUGCCGAGCAUCUCCUUCGGGGGAAAGGAUGCUGCUCUGUCUGAUGGGGACCAGAGCAGACCAGAACUCAGUCCACUGCACAAUUGUCUGCACUUCCUUUGGGAGGAAGCUUCAUUUUCAGAGGGGGAAAGGAAGAUUCUAAUCACUGUUCUCACCCUGGAGUGCUGAGGAUAUUUCCAAGCACCUGAGCCCCUGGAGAUAUUUGGCAACUUGAAAAGUGAUGCUGGUGCCUUGGGGUGGACUCCAUGGUCUGUAUAAAGAUUUGUAGGGUCCAGGAAAAGGCUUUUCCAGCCUGACCAUUUCUGGGAUUCUAUAAAUCCAUGUGGGACUCAGCUGCCCCUGGCUAACUCCAGCUCACUAAAACUUUCAUCAAGGCGUGCUGUUACUGCGGAAUUUAGUGCCAAAGUCAACACCAGGAUUUGUGGGGUCGCUGGAGAUGGAUGGACACCUGCUGACAGGGAAGGGUUGUUUAAUCCUAAAGCUUUUUCCAUGGAACACCUUUGGAUAUGUGACAGCCACAGAGGGAACCUAUAUUACAUUCCAGUAGUGUAGUUAUAUUGCUGAUAUUCAACCAAAAAGAGAGAUAUAAGAAUAAGAAACUCUGCAAAUGAACAUUAAUACAUUGCGUGAUUCAGUUCAAUGAUUUAUUAAUAUUCAUAAAUGCCUUUAAAAAUUAGUCAUGGCUCAUGUAGAUCAUUGAUUUCACCCUAAUCCCUACAAAGCAUUUGGAAAUGCCACAGCAUUCCAAGGGGGAAAUAUGAUACUGGAAAGCUGAAAAAUGCUUUCCAGCAGAGCUUGUACUCUUAGUCCCUGCUAACCAAAGAGAAUCUGAUUUAGAAAGGUGUCUAUAAAUGGGAAACUGGCAAGGAGUUUAUAUGGUACCUAAAGCAAACAUUUCCAAAUUGUAAUGCUGUGUUAUCUGCUUCAAUAUGGAUUUCACUGCCUAGUUUCAGGCAUUUCACUUUGAAAGCAUUAACUGAAAUGUAGAAAGUCCAGUGCCAAGCAUAGUUAAUGAAGAAUAAAAAUAAUUCCACUGAA
Long non-coding RNA from Lonchura striata (white-rumped munia), 1153 nucleotides. RefSeq lists it as uncharacterized. NCBI's taxonomy places the organism in Eukaryota, Metazoa, Chordata, Aves, Passeriformes, Estrildidae. The record is from RefSeq and is a predicted model, not a curated record.